UACGUAGGUGACAAGCGUUGUCCGGAUUUACUGGGCGUAAAGAGCGCGCAGGCGGUCGUUCAAGUCGAGUGUGAAAGCCCCCGGCUCAACUGGGGAGGGUCACUCGAUACUGAUCGACUCGAAGGCAGGAGAGGGAAGUGGAAUUCCCGGUGUAGUGGUGAAAUGCGUAGAUAUCAGGAGGAACACCAAUGGCGAAGGCAGCUCGCUGGGACGGUACUGACGCUGAGGUGCGAAAGCGUGGGGAGCAAACAGG
RNAcentral lists this ribosomal RNA (253 nucleotides) under uncultured bacterium. Its description in RNAcentral is "partial 16S ribosomal RNA". It matches the Rfam family "Bacterial small subunit ribosomal RNA", at positions 524 to 776 of the family's 1533-position model. The record is from RNAcentral.